CAAUGACAGGGGAAGCAAAGGCUGAGGACUUAGCCCAGUCCUCAAAUCUCUCUAAGACCUCCAUAUGCAAGAAGGUGGAGUCCUGUCCUUUUAGUUUCCAGAAAGUGGAACCAAGGAUAAGCAAUGAAGUUCAGAGAAAGUAAGAUUAUAACUUAACCAAAGAAUGUCCCAAAGACCAGAGUGGCUCAAAGAUACAGAUAGUAAUUUGAGAUAUCAGGUUUUAUUCAAGACACUUGGGAAUUAAAAGUGAACAAAAAUAAGUUACAUGUCGUAGGAUGGACAUGUAUCCAGUGUAAACCUAAGAAGCAAAUGAUAUGAUAUAUAUGUUAGAAGAGACACACAGAGAGGCAGAGACACAGGCAGAGGGAGAAGAAGGCUCGCUGUAGAGAUCCCGAUGCGGGCCUCCAUCCCUGGACCCUGGGACCCUAGGAUCACACUCUGAGCAGAAGACAGACACUCAACUGCUGAACCACUCAGAGCGGAACGAUUCAAAUCCAAUCUCCUGUGCUAUGAAGACACGCCAAAUACAGUGGCAACUUUGCGCCUAAAGUUUGAUCGCAGUGAAACAUGAGUCCUCAAAGGUCAAGAACAACCUAAUGGUCUGUGGGGCUCCUACAUGCUGAAAAGUGUGCUUCCCAGGAUGUGAACACAUCACUGCUUAUACUGCUUCCCCAAACCCCUUCUAGCUUCAGUAAUAGGAGAGGGAGGUUUCAAGCUUCUCCCAGAGAUGGGGACAGAUUGCCACAAAUAGAGAUACAGCAGACAAAGGGCGGAGACUGUUCCAGGCAGAGCCCCUCUCCUGGAGGGAUCAUCACCAGAGCUUCUGGCCAGAUCUGCAGAUGGAGAAGCUUUCCUCUAGGUGUAUAAUAGACCAACUUUCGUCUCACUAAAGGGAAAGUAUCCCACAAUGAUGAUCAGAAUGGGAGAAGGCUCCUUAGCCGUGGAAAGAAUGGAGGAAACGUGGGAGGAAGAAGUGGCAGCUAAUCACACGAUGUCAGGCUUGCUUCAUGGCCCGGCAUAUUGUCAAUUUUAGUUCACUGCAGGCAGACUUCAUUCUUCAGCUGAAGAUCAAAGCUCCUGUCAAGGAACUCCUGUCCAUGUGACUUUCUCCUUCCAGAUCUGUGUCCUCUACCACACAGUGCAACCAGAGGGCUGAGACUCAUAUUGGAUUCCUCUUUAAUCCCCAACACUCAGUAAAUGUUUGUUGAAUUUGCAAAGGACAGCUGCAGAUCUUAGAGCAUAUUCACUUGAAUUUCUUCAGUAAGAGACCAACUCGAAGACAUCUUCGUGCACUAAGAGAAGGUGCCCUAUUUGGAAAGUGUCAAAAGUCACUGGGAUCCACACCUGCUGGGCUAUGAAGCAAGAAGAAAAGCUCCACUCUCUUAAUUAAGAAGUUAAAUGCAAUGUUACAGUUAGAGAACGUUCUUUGAAGCCAUGAAGCCUUCAGUUCCCAUCUCUUCCCUGCCCCUUCAAAAAUGCGUGACUUUGGGAAAAUCACUUAACUUCGAGCCUCUAUUUCUUAUAGUAAAAUGGAAAU
Molecule: long non-coding RNA, 1537 nt
Organism: Canis lupus familiaris (dog)
Lineage: Eukaryota; Metazoa; Chordata; Mammalia; Carnivora; Canidae
Exons: 11
Source: RefSeq, a predicted model, not a curated record